This 83-nucleotide microRNA precursor is filed under the name Nomascus leucogenys (northern white-cheeked gibbon). RNAcentral describes it as "miRNA (ENSNLEG00000029939.1)". The record is from RNAcentral. Lineage: Eukaryota; Metazoa; Chordata; Mammalia; Primates; Hylobatidae.
UAUUAGGUUGGUGCAAAAGUAAUCGCGGUUUUCGCCAUUAAAAGUAAUGGUGAAAAUUGAGAUUCCUUUUGAACCAACCUAAA